UCCACGGAUAGACAUUAAUGUAGAAUCGCAAAUAUAUCUUGCUAGCUAUUAACACGGGAUGUCAAAAAGGGAAACUGCUUUGACUAAUACUCGGGCGGUUCCUUCAUCUCAGGAAUAAAUCUCCACCGAUUCCUAACAAAAUAUCGACCGGUUCUUCUCAUCUUCCCAAUAUCAUCUCUACCUCUCUCUCUCUCUCUCCAUCUUACGCCGCCGGCGCCGGCCAUGGGUCCAUCACCAUCGGAGACCCGCGCACUGCUGCCAUAAUACUUGAUUGUUUGGGCGCCACGAACGCAACGACCAACAUCCUUGUGGGCGGUCAGGUCUCUGAUGAGACCUACUCCUUCGACAAGUCGCUGACCCUGGUCGAGAUCUUCCAGCUCGCGGGAGGUGCCCUCCCCAAGAAAGGCUCGCUGGUGGUGGUGCUCACGGACCAGUAUGUGGUCGUCGAGCACUUCUGCAGCGCGCUUCGGCCUCCACGGGAACACCUAUUGUUCAAUGAAAGAGGCAGAGGUAGCAGUGCUAGAUUGGCGCACCUUAUUUGCAAUGGUGUAACUAUACACUAACCCUUUUUAUAUGAUCGGUUUUUAUACACUCAUACAGUAUUGUUUUUUUUCUGCCAUCCAAUGCUGUUUGCCAGACGUUUCUGCACUGAAGCAUGCAGCUUCAGUCAUUUGUGCACCUGCAUUUCUGUAAUAUGGAUUAUAUAUGUUUUAAUUUUUUCUUCAAAACUGUAAUCUUCAGUUUGAGUGACACCAUCAGUUCAAGGCCAAAAUCUGUCUCAGCACUUUUAUACCCCUUUAGAAAUUGUGACAGGAUUAAUGUAAAUACUUUUGCCUCUCUUGAAUCUUGAUA
Molecule: non-coding RNA, 852 nt
Organism: Aegilops tauschii subsp. strangulata
Lineage: Eukaryota; Viridiplantae; Streptophyta; Magnoliopsida; Poales; Poaceae
Source: RefSeq, a predicted model, not a curated record